CCCAAAGUUUCAGGAUCAUGUCACUGUGUGUGGUGGGUUUUAACAGGAAGGAGAGCACAGUGGUACCUUGGUUUUAGAACAGCUUAGUUUAUGAACAACUUGGAAAUAGAACGCUGCAAACCCGGAAGUAGGUGUCCCUUUUUGUGAGCUUUGCCUUGUUCAGCUUCCUGUCGAAUAUAUUCAUUUGUAAAUUGAGUCCCCCACUGCUAAUCAGAGGCUGAGUCCUGAGUCCCAAGCACCCAGGCAACACAGAGGUGAUAUUUGGAGCUUUUGUUUUUGCUAUUUGUUUUUGCUAUUUGUUUGUGUGGCUUUUUCGUUUUUGUGACUGUGACUUGUGACUUUGUUUUUGUGACUUGUUUUUGUGACUGUGUGGAACCCAGUUCAGCUGCUGAUUGAUGGUGUGACUGCAGAAAUGGAUUAAAAAAAAACACACCAUCCAAACAAUGACUAUCAUCAGUGCACGUAAGAAAAAAAUUGAAUAUGAACACAUAUUCAGCAUGCAUGUCCAGUCUCUGACAUCUACAGACAUGGCUGGGAGGAGUCUGAAAGCCUGGGGAAAGCCUGUCUCUCAGGACAGCCCAGACUAAGCUCAGUGCAACAUGAACCGACUCAGGAUAAUGCAGCUUCCUAGCUCCCCCCCAAAAUGAUACCACACAUCCAUUUCCAUCACAUAUUCUUAUUGCAGUCCCAUCACAGAUGGAACUACACCAGAAGGGUAAUAAUAAUAAUAAUAAUAAUAAUAAUAAUAAUAAUAAUAAUUUAUUAUUUAUACCCCGCCCAUUUGGCUGGGCUUCCCCAGCCACUCUGGGCGGCUUUCAACAAAAUAUUAAAAUACCGUAAUGCAUCAAACAUUAAAAGCUUCCCUAAACAGGGCUGCCAUAUUAAACUAAGCACUCCUUCAUAAUUAGCAAUUUCCUACCUGAUAAGCAUGCUUUGUGUGCAGAAAAAUGCAUAGAUAGUAACAUCCAGAUCCAACCUAGCAUGGACAUAUACGCCCUAGAGCAAGAGGGGGGUGUAAUCAGAUGAACAACAGAUACCACUUUUAACUACCUCCAAACAGCCACAAAGAUUGCUAUCAUUCACCAACAACCACCCGCAGGUACACUCAACUUUUAAUUUAAAAGGCCAAAACUCUGUAGUUAGGACAACAGUGCCUGAAAGGGUACGCUGAGCUGUUCUUUUUGUGACUACGGACAGUAAUAGGAAACAUUAGGCCCCAUUCUCUUUAUAUCAAAUCAGAAGGUGUUUCCUGGUACAUAAUGAGCAUCAUCAAAAUCCAUUAGCCACAGCUAAUUAUCAACAGCAUGUAUGUACACCAAAUGAAACUGACCGCCUGUGCCUCAUGUGGUUUGACAAGUGAUGACAGCAAUAGUGACCAAUAUACUGUCUAUAUGUGAGUUCCUACCGCGCUCUUGCAUUUCUCCCAUUCAUUUUGGUGGAGCUUCCAUGAGAGAUUUUUCCACUGGAUUGUGGCAUCUGCCAAAAGAGAAACAGAAUUAAGCCCUUCUUAAAUUUAUCCUUUAGAGUGAAAAGAUUUGCAAUUAUUAGUGUACAUGAAAGCAUGCAAAAUGUCUCCAUAAUUUACUGGGUUUUCAGCUGCUCUGACAUUGGGGCUGCAUCUGGACAUGCACAGCUCAGGUUUAUAGAUUUGUACUCAUUUCAAGGCAAAUGAAUGGAUAAAUGUAUUGUGACUGAUUAACCGUUCUUUGUACUCUUAGGAGUGUGUCAUUAUGAACGAUUGUCCACACAACUCAUUACUAUGCCAUUAAGCCUUGUGAAUUAUUGCUGCUAACAAUGCUCUUCCAAAAUGAUGGACUGCACUUCCAUUGACUUUAUGGAGCA
Molecule: non-coding RNA, 1842 nt
Organism: Podarcis lilfordi (Lilford's wall lizard)
Lineage: Eukaryota; Metazoa; Chordata; Lepidosauria; Squamata; Lacertidae
Source: the annotation of a GenBank genome assembly